AUUGAACGCUGGCGGCAGGCUUAACACAUGCAAGUCGAGCGGAGCGAGGGUGCUUGCACCUUAGCUUAGCGGCGGACGGGUGAGUGAUGCUUAGGAAUCUGCCUAUUAGUGGGGGACAACAUUCCGAAAGGAAUGCUAAUACCGCAUACGCCCUACGGGGAAAGCAGGGGAUCUUCGGACCUUGCGCUAAUAGAUGAGCCUAAGUCAGAUUAGCUAGUUGGUGGGGUAAAGGCCUACCAAGGCGACGAUCUGUAGCGGGUCUGAGAGGAUGAUCCGCCACACUGGGACUGAGACACGGCCCAGACUCCUACGGGAGGCAGCAGUGGGGAAUAUUGGACAAUGGGCGCAAGCCUGAUCCAGCCAUGCCGCGUGUGUGAAGAGGCCUUUUGGUUGUAAAGCACUUUAAGCGAGGAGGAGGCUACUUGGAUUAAUACUCUAGGAUAGUGGACGUUACUCG
This 457-nucleotide ribosomal RNA is filed under the name uncultured bacterium. Its description in RNAcentral is "bacterial SSU rRNA". It matches the Rfam family "Bacterial small subunit ribosomal RNA", at positions 30 to 481 of the family's 1533-position model. The record is from RNAcentral.